GUCUAAGUAUCUGAACCCUCUUCUCUCUCUUUCUUUUAUCUCUUUUCUUCUUCUCUCUCUAGGCUACGAAGGGUUGAGGAAGAAAGGUUGGCAGCUGGUGGGGUGUUGUGGACUGAAGUGAAGCUUUGAUCCAAGUAAAGAAUUCUUGCUGAUUGGGGUUGCUCUAUAACCUGGAUCAGCAUCUAAUCAAGGUAAACUUGAUUAGUACUUAUUCAUAGAUAAGUUGAUUGUUUAAAGAGGAGAUUUAUAUGGAUUUCUUGCUAAGGGCAAUUUGGAAGAGCACUUAAUUAAGGCCUGAAGUUGGGUUUGUGGAGCUGCCGAAUUGGGGCUGCAGCUGUUGAAGCUGAGAUUUGAGCUGAAUUCUUGUUGUUGGAGCAGCAAGCUUGAGCUGAUAAGGGUUUAAGCAAGUUAAAUUCCUGCUGUUGCUACUGCCGAAAUGCAGGAAUGGGCCAUUUGAUGUAGUGAACAAUGCUGCUGGUAGUAGCAGAUUUGAAGUUGAGGCUUGUUGGAGCUGCCAAGUUGAAAGAUUUCGCAAAGGGAAUCGGAAAUUGAGGAAUUGGGCACCCAAGUUGAAGAAGCCUGGGUAGAACUUCCUUGGUAAUGCAAGCUGCAACAAAUCUGGUGGAGCUUGGACUUUAGGUCGACGACGCGCUAAUUACGGUAGAGGCCGUUUUAGCUCUGUUUGCACCGAAUCGCGAGAGCGGGUUAUCAACACACUCUGAGACGUGAGAUCUAAUUGAUUGACACCACUACAGGUUCCAGUGCGAGCGGUGUGGCCGAGGACCGUGGCAAGAGCCCCGCAGCUUAGCUAGCUGACACCAGAGUAUAGUAGUUUACCAUUUUGAGUUCA
Ananas comosus (pineapple) is the source of this 850-nucleotide long non-coding RNA. RefSeq lists it as uncharacterized. The record is from RefSeq and is a predicted model, not a curated record. The transcript is spliced from 5 exons. NCBI's taxonomy places the organism in Eukaryota, Viridiplantae, Streptophyta, Magnoliopsida, Poales, Bromeliaceae.